CCAAAACUGGUAGCAGUUUCAAAUUCCAUUUCAUUUGUCAAUCCUAAAGCACCUGUAUAUCCGCGCCUUGCUCAGGGGAAGUCUUGGGAUGAGAUGACAGUUACCUGGACAAGUGGCUAUGACAUAAAUGAAGCUGUCCCAUUUGUUGAGUGGAGUAUGAAGGGGCAAUUUCCAGUUCGCUCCCCAGCUGGAACAUUGACUUUUACUAGAAACAGCAUGUGUGGUUCACCUGCAAGGACGGUUGGCUGGCGUGAUCCUGGUUUCAUUCACACAAGUUUCUUAAAGAACUUGUAGCCGAACACUGUGUACACUUACAGGAUGGGCCAUAUCUUAUCAGAUGGUUUAAUUAUCCGGAGCAAGUUAUAUUCAUUCAAAUCAUCCCCAUAUCCUGGACAGGACUCAUUACAGCGAGUUAUUAUAUUUGGUGACUUGGGAAAGGGAGAGCGUGAUGGCUCAAAUGAGUAUAGUAAUUAUCAACCAGGUUCGCUGAAAACUACUGACCAACUCAUCAAGGACUUGGAUAAUAUUGACAUAGUUUUCCAUAUUGGAGACACAUCAUAUGCAAAUGGAUAAAUCUCGCAAUGGGACCAAUUCACUUCACAGGUGGAGCCCAUUGCAUCAACUGUCCCAUAUAUGACUGGAAGUGGUAAUCACGAGCGCGAUUGGCCAAAUAC
Molecule: long non-coding RNA, 674 nt
Organism: Alnus glutinosa
Lineage: Eukaryota; Viridiplantae; Streptophyta; Magnoliopsida; Fagales; Betulaceae
Exons: 6
Source: RefSeq, a predicted model, not a curated record